GACGAACGCUGGCGGCGUGCUUAACACAUGCAAGUCGAGCGGUAAGGCCCUUUCGGGGUACGACGAGCGGCGAACGGGUAGAGUAACACGUGGGUGGACCUCGCCCUCCAGCUCUGGGAGUAAGCCUCGGGAAACCGGGGUACUAAUAACCGGAUAUGACUCCAUGUCGCAUGUUGUGGGGUGGAAAGCCUUGUGCGGCUGAGGA
This 205-nucleotide ribosomal RNA is filed under the name uncultured bacterium. Its description in RNAcentral is "partial 16S ribosomal RNA". It matches the Rfam family "Bacterial small subunit ribosomal RNA", at positions 28 to 225 of the family's 1533-position model. The record is from RNAcentral.